GUAUGGAAUAUUGGGCAAUGGGCGGUAGCCUGACCCAGCCAUGCCGCGUGCAGGAAGACGGCGUUCUGCGUUGUAAACUGCUUUUAUACGGGAAGAAAAGGCCCAUGCGUGGGACAUUGCCGGUACCGUAUGAAUAAGCACCGGCUAACUCCGUGCCAGCAGCCGCGGUAAUACGGAGGGUGCAAGCGUUGUCCGGAUUUAUUGGGUUUAAAGGGUGCGUAGGCGGCUUGUUAAGUCAGCGGUGAAAGUCUGUGGCUCAACCAUGGAAUUGCCGUUGAUACUGGCGGGCUUGAGUGUCGAUGGGGUACAUGGAAUUUAUGGUGUAGCGGUGAAAUGCAUAGAUACCAUAAGGAACACCGAUAGCGAAGGCAUUGUACUUAUCGACAACUGACGCUGAGGCACGAAAGCGCGGGUAGCGAACAGGAUUAGAAACCCUAGUAGUCC
RNAcentral lists this ribosomal RNA (444 nucleotides) under uncultured bacterium. Its description in RNAcentral is "bacterial SSU rRNA". It matches the Rfam family "Bacterial small subunit ribosomal RNA", at positions 354 to 796 of the family's 1533-position model. The record is from RNAcentral.